CCUCACAACUUUAUCCCACUCAGCUUUUCUUUGUCUGACUUGUUGCACUAUGUGCUCCUCAUCACUAAAUUGAUAAUCACUAUCAAUAAACCCAUCAUCUUCACUUGAUUCCUCCUUAUUUUGAGCACAUGUGUUCUUGUUGCUUCUCUUCUUUGUCCCUUGCUUCCUAGUUGCUGCUUUGGUUGGUGUUCUUUUACUUGCUGUUUUGAUUGGUGCUCUUUUACUUGCUGUUUUGGUUGGUAUUUUUUUGCUUGCCACUGUCACCUUCGCUGUUUUUUCCUUUCUUG
This 287-nucleotide long non-coding RNA is filed under the name Coffea arabica (coffee). Its description in RNAcentral is "long non-coding RNA (CARA_LNC003718)". The record is from RNAcentral. Lineage: Eukaryota; Viridiplantae; Streptophyta; Magnoliopsida; Gentianales; Rubiaceae.